Small nuclear RNA from Bos taurus (domestic cattle), 62 nucleotides. Its record names the gene U7. It matches the Rfam family "U7 small nuclear RNA". From Rfam's summary of the family: Animal histone pre-mRNAs are spliced by a different mechanism than nuclear pre-mRNAs and self-splicing introns. Lineage: Eukaryota; Metazoa; Chordata; Mammalia; Artiodactyla; Bovidae. The record is from Ensembl.
AAGUGUUACAGCUCUUUUAGAAUUUGUCUAGCAGGCUUUCCAGUUCGCACCAGAAAGCACCC